RNAcentral lists this ribosomal RNA (248 nucleotides) under uncultured bacterium. RNAcentral's name for it is "partial 16S ribosomal RNA". It matches the Rfam family "Bacterial small subunit ribosomal RNA", at positions 107 to 353 of the family's 1533-position model. The record is from RNAcentral.
UGAGUAACACGUAUCCAACCUGCCGUCUACUCUUGGACAGCCUUCUGAAAGGAAGAUUAAUACAAGAUGGCAUCAUGAGUCCGCAUGUUCACAUGAUUAAAGGUAUUCCGGUAGACGAUGGGGAUGCGUUCCAUUAGAUAGUAGGCGGGGUAACGGCCCACCUAGUCGACGAUCAGUAGCCGGACUGAGAGGUUGAACGGCCACAUUGGGACUGAGAUACGGCCCAGACUCCUACGGGAGGCAGCAUG